GAUGAACGCUAGCGGCAGGCUUAAUACAUGCAAGUCGAGGGGCAGCACGAAUAGCAAUAUUUGGUGGCGACCGGCGCACGGGUGCGUAACACGUAUACAACCUACCUAUAACAGGGGGAUAGCCUUUCGAAAGAGAGAUUAAUACCCCGUAAUAAAUUGAGUGGCAUCACUUGAUUUUGAAAGCUACGGCGGUUAUAGAUGGGUAUGCGUCCUAUUAGCUAGUUGGUGAGGUAACGGCUCACCAAGGCGACGAUAGGUAGGGGAUCUGAGAGGACUAACCCCCACACUGGUACUGAGACACGGACCAGACUCCUACGGGAGGCAGCAGUAAGGAAUAUUGGUCAAUGGAGGCAACUCUGAACCAGCCAUGCCGCGUGCAGGAUGACGGCCCUAUAGGUUGUAAACUGCUUUUUGUACCAGAGAAAACCUACUCACGUGUGAGUAGCUGAUAGUAUGGUAAGAAUAAGCAUCGGCUAACUUCGUGCCAGCAGCCGCGGUAAUC
Molecule: ribosomal RNA, 502 nt
Filed under: uncultured bacterium
Lineage: Bacteria
Description: bacterial SSU rRNA
Rfam family: Bacterial small subunit ribosomal RNA
Source: RNAcentral